Hydra vulgaris (swiftwater hydra) is the source of this 1881-nucleotide non-coding RNA. Lineage: Eukaryota; Metazoa; Cnidaria; Hydrozoa; Anthoathecata; Hydridae. The record is from RefSeq and is a predicted model, not a curated record.
GAGAAAAUGCAUACGAGUCUCCAAAAUAGUUUUAAAAAAUUGUUCACGAAUAUUCUAUCAAAACAAGCAAGCUUUCUGUUGAAAAAAUUAAAGAUGUUUUUUCCCUUAAAUGUUUGCCACCUUAACAUCAAUUAAUAAAAUGGUCUACUGAACUAUCUCUGCGCAACAAUAUUGCCAAUAGAAUCCAUUAUAUAGAAUGAAAUCUUAAAAAGUUUAUCUAGUAAAAGUUAUCUAAGUAAAUCUUAAAAAGUUUAUAAAAGUAUAUCGAAAGUGUUCAGCAUCUAAUAGUACUUUAUAGGGUUCAAGAAAAUAAAUUAGCAGUUGAUCAAGAGCUAACAUUGUUUAAUUCUUCAAAGUUUGUACCAAAAUCAAUUGAUAUUUUUCCACUUCAAAAUUUAUUUAAAAAGUUCAAAGAUGUGCUUUUUAGAACGCCAGCUAGUUGAGAUAUUUCAGAAUAUGGAAUGAACCCCAACACUUUAUCUGAGUUAUGCUGUACUAGAUGGCUCUCAUCAGAUCAUAUGCUGCAUUUUUUCAGUAUUUUAAAUUCUAUCCAAAGCCAUUCAAAGGUAAUUUACUUUAAUUUUAUAGGAAAUAUUGAACAUUAUGUUUCAAGAAUAACUGCAGUCCAAGAAAAAUUGAUUUUUAUUAUAAAUGUUGGAGGAAACAAUGAGAAAACAUUCUCUGACACAGAAAUAAAUCAAGGUAGCCACUGGACAUUUGCAGUUUAUAAUAGUAUCAAGGGUGAUUUUUACAAUGGUGGUUCUAUGGGUUGGUCAGUUCUAUAUGAUUUUUUAUUUUAAGUCAAAUUGUUAAUCAGAAAACUGUAUAUCAUAAAUAAAAGCUUUGACAUCAUUUACUGUCAUGACCCAAGAAUUCAUAGGAAUGGAGUUAAAAAAUGCAGUUCUUUAUGCAGAGAAUACUAUCCAAUGCAAACUUGUGGGAUUAUCCGUGGAGUAAUUAACAUAAUAAUAUGUGUAAUCUCUUGUUUACAGUAUGAUUAUUUUAACCAUAUUAUAAGUAAAGAUAAAAUAGAGAACAAUAGUUACAUUAUUCUAAAAGAGCCUACUAAAUACUCUAAAUAUUUAAGGUUAGUUUUAAUGUCAUGGCUUAUUAGCAAAGAAAUUAUCUGGAUUUAGUUAUUUCUACAACUAUUGUUCGUGAAGUAUUUAGCAGUUUUGAAUUAUAUGAUUCUGAUGAAUAUGUGAUAAACGCAAAUGUAAUGGAACCCAAAUUAAAUGAAAAAAAAUCAUAAAUAUAAAACAUACCAAUUUUUUAUCUCUAAAAUGUGCAUUUUGUGAUGUCUCCUUUACCCAAAAAAGAACUUGCAGCGACAUAUAAAAAAUAAGCACAAAUCAAUUGAUGAAGCUCAAGCAUAUCAUUAAUCAGGAAAUUCUUUGUGUCUCCAGUGUGGAUUUCAGUGCAGACAAAUUAAUGGUUUAAAAAAAGCAUUUAAAAAACCAUCUGCAGUUCACCUUUAUACUUUUCAGAAAGAAAAAUUAUCAUUUGCUAAUGUUAAAGGAUUUUGACAUGUGGAAAUCGGAUAUCAAAAGUAAUAAGGCAAGACAAUAUGUUUUAUCAUCUGGUGAAAAGUUUGAUAAAGAUGGUCGGAAAGUGUCAUACUAUCAAUGCAGAAGAUGUGGACUUUAUAAAUAUAUGGCAAAUAAAAGAAUAGUCAAAAGUAGUGUUGAAAAAGUAUAGUUGGGCAAGCAAAAUGUUUAUUCGAGCUGUUUGAAUAGAAAAUACAGAGAAAUAAAGUGAGAAAAAUCGAUCGAUAAUUUUUAUGUGCUGGCUAUCAUCAUUAAAUGUAAUAAAUUGUUUCAAUGAAAUGCAUAAACCGCAUCUAACUAAUACAGAUUUACGCUGCUCAAAAUUGAAUGUCAU